GACGAACGCUGGCGGUGUGCUUAACACAUGCAAGUCGAACGGAAAGGCCCUGCUUUUGUGGGGUGCUCGAGUGGCGAACGGGUGAGUAACACGUGAGUAACCUGCCCUUGACUUUGGGAUAACUUCAGGAAACUGGGGCUAAUACCGGAUAGGAGCUCCUGCUGCAUGGCGGGGGUUGGAAAGUUUCGGCGGUUGGGGAUGGACUCGCGGCUUAUCAGCUUGUUGGUGGGGUAGUGGCUUACCAAGGCUUUGACGGGUAGCCGGCCUGAGAGGGUGACCGGCCACAUUGGGACUGAGAUACGGCCCAGACUCCUACGGGAGGCAGCAGUGGGGAAUAUUGCACAAUGGGCGGAAGCCUGAUGCAGCAACGCCGCGUGCGGGAUGACGGCCUUCGGGUUGUAAACCGCUUUCGCCUGUGACGAAGCGUGAGUGACGGUAAUGGGUAAAGAAGCACCGGCUAACUACGUG
RNAcentral lists this ribosomal RNA (468 nucleotides) under uncultured bacterium. RNAcentral's name for it is "partial 16S ribosomal RNA". It matches the Rfam family "Bacterial small subunit ribosomal RNA", at positions 28 to 507 of the family's 1533-position model. The record is from RNAcentral.